UGCCGGCAACUCCGCGACGGCAAGCUGUGAACCCCGUCAGGCCCGAGAGGGAGCAGCGGCAGCAGCGAACUCGUGCGCUGGGCACGGCUGGCGCAG
RNAcentral lists this signal recognition particle RNA (96 nucleotides) under Gammaproteobacteria bacterium. RNAcentral's name for it is "signal recognition particle sRNA small type". It matches the Rfam family "Bacterial small signal recognition particle RNA". Rfam says of the family: The signal recognition particle (SRP) is a universally conserved ribonucleoprotein involved in the co-translational targeting of proteins to membranes. Archaeal SRP consists of a 7S RNA and homologues of the eukaryotic SRP19 and SRP54 proteins. The record is from RNAcentral. Lineage: Bacteria; Pseudomonadati; Pseudomonadota; Gammaproteobacteria.